RNAcentral lists this ribosomal RNA (466 nucleotides) under uncultured bacterium. Its description in RNAcentral is "partial 16S ribosomal RNA". It matches the Rfam family "Bacterial small subunit ribosomal RNA", at positions 28 to 507 of the family's 1533-position model. The record is from RNAcentral.
GACGAACGCUGGCGGCGUGCUUAACACAUGCAAGUCGAACGGAAAGGCCCCUUUCGUGGGGUACUCGAGUGGCGAACGGGUGAGUAACACGCGAGUAACCCGCCCUCGUCUUUGGGAUAACUCCAGGAAACAGGGGCUAAUACCGGAUAGGAGCUCCUGUGGCAUGGUGGGGGUUGGAAAGUUUCGGCGGUUGGGGAUGGACUCGCGGCUUAUCAGCUUGUUGGUGGGGUAGUGGCUUACCAAGGCUUUGACGGGUAGCCGGCCUGAGAGGGUGACCGGCCACAUUGGGACUGAGAUACGGCCCAGACUCCUACGGGAGGCAGCAGUGGGGAAUAUUGCACAAUGGGCGGAAGCCUGAUGCAGCAACGCCGCGUGCGGGAUGACGGCCUUCGGGUUGUAAACCGCUUUCGCCUGUGACGAAGCGUGAGUGACGGUAAUGGGUAAAGAAGCACCGGCUAACUACGUG